RNAcentral lists this ribosomal RNA (523 nucleotides) under uncultured soil bacterium. Its description in RNAcentral is "partial 16S ribosomal RNA". It matches the Rfam family "Bacterial small subunit ribosomal RNA", at positions 26 to 526 of the family's 1533-position model. The record is from RNAcentral.
AGGAUGAACGCUAGCGGCAGGCCUAAUACAUGCAAGUCGAACGAUACCUUCGACCUUCGGGUUGGGGGGAAAGUGGCGCACGGGUGCGUAACGCGUAUGCAACCUACCUUAAUCGAGGGGGAUAGCCUCUCGAAAGAGAGAUUAACACCGCAUAAAAUCACAGUCCGGCAUCGGAUCAUGAUCAAAUAUUUAUAGGAUUAAGAUGGGCAUGCGUGACAUUAGUUAGUUGGUGAGGUAACGGCUCACCAAGACCACGAUGUCUAGGGGAUCUGAGAGGAUCGACCCCCCCACACUGGUACUGAGACACGGACCAGACUCCUACGGGAGCAGCAGUAAAGGAUAUUGGUCAAGUGGGGGCAACCUGAACCAGCCAUGCCGCGUGCAGGAAGACGGCCCUACGGGUUAGUAAACUGACUUUUAGUAACGGAACUAACCCCCCCCGAUCCGUAGAGUCGGGGUUGAAUGUACUAGUAAAGAAAUAAGGAUCGGACUAACUCCGUGACCAGCACGCCGACGGUAACUC